AGGAUCACAAUAAUUCUGGGCCUUAGGAAUAUAUAGAAUUUUAUGCAGUUUGUCUUGUACAUGUAUAUACACGUUCAUUUUCCAGGAAAGGGUCCACUGCUUCUAUUUUCCUGGAACUUGUUAGCAAUGCAGAUGCUGGGGGCGGAACUUGGCAAUGCUUUAAUAAACACGCUAGGUGAGCCUGAGGUCACGUUGUAAAAUACUAACUUAGAAAGUGCAGGCAAAGAAAAAGGCAAAAUCACUUCUGCAUGGCAGUGUAGUCAGAACUGAGACUGGCACUGUGGGGACUGACUGGAGAUGUGUGAUGAGGCCUUGCUAAAUUGCUUGGGAUAGCCUCAAAUUCACGCCUCAGCCUCUUGAGUACCUGGGAUUACAGAACACACUGACUGAAUGUGACACUGAACAGUCACCAGUGAAUAACCUACAGUACCUGAUCAACAUUUAGUUUUCACGCUGUAGUAACUUGGAAAUGUGCAACCGUGUCAACAGAGACAAAAAAGCCAAAGUAACACGAAUCUCACCGUCAUGCAGCUAUCGGUUAAAUAUUACAUACUCUGGAAUGAUUUUACACCAAAAAUAUUUCCACAAUAACUUGCUCUCAUAGGGGUGGAUCGAAGUUUUAAAACUUGAAAAACAAUGAAAGAAGGUUAAGUGUUCUUGGUUAUGACCCUCCAUCUGCGCCCCGGCACCGCGGCGACCGGGCCUGUUGCGCAGCGGCGAGGAGGGGCGAUGAACCGAGUCACUGCGGAACCUGGUAGGUAGCUGUGGGGAACGGGGCUGCCAGGCAGGAUGUACAAAAGAGUGCGCACCAUUUGGCAGUAGUUUGUCAAUUAACUUGUGUCACCUCCAUCUGCGACAGCAUCGGGAUUGGAUGGACGAUGUUUCACAGAAGACUGACUUACACUUUCAUCUUUAGAGUGACCCUGACAAACCUGGAGAAAACUUUUUUAAAGGCUUUUCUCCUGAUUCUUUCACUUCCAUUGAGAGUAAUUCCUUUAAUAAAUAUCAAAGGUCUAAAUAAAUAUUUACAAAUUCUUUCUCUAACCUCAAAAAACAACUAAAUGAUAAAUGGGAAUUUGACUUGGUCUAAGGUCAGUCUUUGCCAAAAAACAAAAAACCCAACAACAUAAAUUGUGAGAUAUUUUUAAAGAAAAGUAAUUUAAGUUUUCCUGGUUGUAUUUUAUAUAUCUACGUAUAAAGAAAGCAUUAGUCAACUAUCGAUCCAUUCCUAUUGGUAAUGCUUCUUAAUCCAGACAUUCCUCAAAAUACAGACUUUUUACAAAUCACGGCAUCUUUAAUACAAGAAAAUUAACAUGCAUUAUUCUUCAUUCUGUGUACAGUGAUGGAGUUCAUUAGUAGGCAAUGACCCAUUACUACAAACAUAACGGCUUCUGUGAAACUUAAGUGCUUUCUUUCCUUUUAGUAUUAACUUACAUACAAGAAGUGACACCAGAUAAUAGGCAGUUAGGAUGAUACUGGGAAGGGAAGGGGAGGGAAGCAUUGAAGAAAUUUGUAUGCCUCAUCUAUAAUUUCACAUAUGGAUAAAGGUAGUUUUUGGCUUUUUAUUUUUUGUUGUUUAUUUUGUUACAAGCACUCAUAUUAGGACAAAGAUGAAAUGUGCAAACUUUAAAAUUUAAA
This is a long non-coding RNA of Heterocephalus glaber (naked mole-rat), 1638 nucleotides long. RefSeq lists it as uncharacterized. NCBI's taxonomy places the organism in Eukaryota, Metazoa, Chordata, Mammalia, Rodentia, Bathyergidae. The record is from RefSeq and is a predicted model, not a curated record.